This 301-nucleotide ribosomal RNA is filed under the name uncultured bacterium. RNAcentral describes it as "partial 16S ribosomal RNA". It matches the Rfam family "Bacterial small subunit ribosomal RNA", at positions 509 to 807 of the family's 1533-position model. The record is from RNAcentral.
CAGCCGCCGCGGUAAUACGAAGGGGGCUAGCGUUGUUCGGAAUAACUGGGCGUAAAGGGCGCGUAGGCGGAUCUUUAAGUCAGGGGUGAAAUCCCAAGGCUCAACCUUGGAACUGCCUUUGAUACUGGAGAUCUUGAGUCCGGGAGAGGUGAGUGGAACUGCGAGUGUAGAGGUGAAAUUCGUAGAUAUUCGCAAGAACACCAGUGGCGAAGGCGGCUCACUGGCCCGGUACUGACGCUGAGGCGCGAAAGCGUGGGUAGCGAACAGGAUUAGAUACCCGGGUAGUCCCUGUCUCUUAUAC